This 1168-nucleotide ribosomal RNA is filed under the name uncultured organism. RNAcentral describes it as "bacterial SSU rRNA". It matches the Rfam family "Bacterial small subunit ribosomal RNA", at positions 77 to 1234 of the family's 1533-position model. The record is from RNAcentral.
AGCUUGCUGAGAUGAGUAUACUGGCGGAUGGGUGAGUAACACGUAGGUAAUCUACCUACAGGACAGGGAUAACACAGCUAACGCGGUGCUAAUACCUGAUAAAGCGAUUGUUAUAAGAGAUGGUCGUUAACGGCUGGCAUUAGCUAGCGCCUGUAGAUGAGCCUGCGUCCCAUUAGUUAGUUGGUAGGGUAACGGCCUACCAAGGCGACGAUGGGUAGCCGGCCUGAGAGGGUGAGCGGCCACACUGGGACUGAGAUACGGCCCAGACUCCUACGGGAGGCAGCAGUGAGGAAUAUUGCGCAAUGGCCGAAAGGUUGACGCAGCGACGCCGCGUGAGGGAUGAAGCUUUUAGGAGUGUAAACCUCUGUUAGGAGGGAAGAAUAACGGCAAUUCGAACAGGGUUGUCGGAUGCCGGUACCUCCAGAGGAAGCCCCGGCUAACUCCGUGCCAGCAGCCGCGGUAAUACGGGGGGGGCUAGCGUUGUCCGGAAUUACUGGGCGUAAAGGGCGCGUAGGCGGGAUAGCAAGUCAGUGGUGCAAACUUGAGGCUUAACUUUGAGCUUGCCAUUGAUACUGUUAUUCUUGAGUUCGGCAGAGGGAAGUGGAAUUCCUGGUGUAGCGGUGAAAUGCGUAGAUAUCAGGAAGAACACCGGUGGCGAAGGCGGCUUCCUGGUCCGAUACUGACGCUGAGGCGCGAAAGCGCGGGGAGCGAACAGGAUUAGAUACCCUGGUAGUCCGCGCUGUAAACGAUGGGUACUAGGUGUUGGUUGUAGAGAUCAGCGCCGGAGUAAACGCAUUAAGUACCCCGCCUGGGGAAUACGGUCGCAAGACUGAAACUCAAAGGAAUUGACGGGGGCCCGCACAAGCGGUGGAGCAUGUGGUUUAAUUCGAUGCAACGCGAAGAACCUUACCUGGGCUUGAACUGCAGGUGCUAUCUCCUGAAAGGGAGUUUCCUUCGGGACACCUGUAGAGGUGCUGCAUGGCUGUCGUCAGCUCGUGCUGUGAGGUGUUGGGUCAAGUCCCUCAAUGACAGCAACCCCUGUCGGUAGUUGUCAUCAGGUCAAGCUGGGAACUCUAGGGGGACUGCCCCGGAUAACGGGGAGGAAGGUGGGGAUGAUGUCAAGUCAUCAUGUCCCUUACGUCCAGGGGUACACUCGUGUUACAAUGGC